This 726-nucleotide ribosomal RNA is filed under the name uncultured bacterium. RNAcentral describes it as "bacterial SSU rRNA". It matches the Rfam family "Bacterial small subunit ribosomal RNA", at positions 88 to 848 of the family's 1533-position model. The record is from RNAcentral.
GGUCUUAGCGGCGGACGGGUGAGUAACGCGUGGGAACAUGCCCUUCACUACGGAAUAGUCCCGGGAAACUGGGUUUAAUACCGUAUACGCCCUUCGGGGGAAAGAUUUAUCGGUGAAGGAUUGGCCCGCGUUAGAUUAGGUAGUUGGUGGGGUAAUGGCCUACCAAGUCUACGAUCUAUAGCUGGUUUUAGAGGAUGAUCAGCAACACUGGGACUGAGACACGGCCCAGACUCCUACGGGAGGCAGCAGUGGGGAAUCUUGGACAAUGGGCGCAAGCCUGAUCCAGCCAUGCCGCGUGAAUGAUGAAGGCCUUAGGGUUGUAAAAUUCUUUCGCUAGGGAUGAUAAUGACAGUACCUAGUAAAGAAGCCCCGGCUAACUUCGUGCCAGCAGCCGCGGUAAUACGAAGGGGGCUAGCGUUGUUCGGAAUUACUGGGCGUAAAGCGCGCGUAGGCGGGCUAUUAAGCCAGAUGUGAAAGCCCGGAGCUCAACUCCGGAACUGCAUUUGGAACUGGUAGCCUAGAGACCAGGAGAGGUUAGCGGAAUACCGAGUGUAGAGGUGAAAUUCGUAGAUAUUCGGUGGAACACCAGUGGCGAAGGCGGCUAACUGGACUGGUACUGACGCUGAGGCGCGAAAGUGUGGGGAGCAAACAGGAUUAGAUACCCCUGUAGUCCUGGCCGUAAACGAUGAACACUAGGUGUCGGGGGAAUCGACCCCCUCGGUGUCG